This 350-nucleotide unclassified non-coding RNA is filed under the name soil metagenome. Its description in RNAcentral is "partial contains 5.8S ribosomal RNA, internal transcribed spacer 2, and large subunit ribosomal RNA". The stretch from base 1 to 120 matches the Rfam family "5.8S ribosomal RNA", at positions 35 to 154 of the family's 154-position model. The record is from RNAcentral.
GAUGAAGAACGUAGCGAAAUGCGAAAAGUAGUGUGAAUUGCAGAAUUCAGUGAAUCAUCGAAUCUUUGAACGCACAUUGCGCCCUCUGGUAUUCCGGAGGGCAUGCCUGUUCGAGCGUCAUUAUCACCCCUCAAGCCCGGCUUGUUGUUGGAUGCAGCGCUUAUCCCGCUCCUCCCAAAGAUAAUGACGGCGUCUGCGACGACUCCUGUACACUGAGCUUUCGGGCACGUACACGGCUAGAAGUCCAGACCCGGUCGCCGUCCCCCCCGCGGGGACACCCAUUACCACAAGGUUGACCUCGGAUCAGGUAGGAAUACCCGCUGAACUUAAGCAUAUCAAUAAGCGGAGGA